Molecule: ribosomal RNA, 328 nt
Filed under: uncultured eukaryote
Lineage: Eukaryota
Description: partial 18S ribosomal RNA
Rfam family: Eukaryotic small subunit ribosomal RNA
Source: RNAcentral
CCCUUAGAUGUCCUGGGCCGCACGCGCGUUACACUGAUGCAUUCAACGAGCUUAUAACCUUGGCCGAGAGGCCUGGGCAAUCUUGUUAACGUGCAUCGUGAUAGGGAUAGAUUAUUGAAAUUAUUAAUCUUGAACGAGGAAUUCCUAGUAAACGCAGAUCAUCAAUCUGCAUUGAUUACGUCCCUGCCCUUUGUACACACCGCCCGUCGCACCUACCGAUUGGAUGGUCCGGUGAAGCCUCGGGAUUGUGGUUCUUGCCGCUUUAUUGUGGCGUGACCGCGAGUACUUGUCUAAACCUUAUCAUCUAGAGGAAGGUGAAGUCGUAACA